CUCCAAGUGGUUUUGCUUGGAUGACAUGUUCCUUCCUAUGACUGGCAAUGGACUUAAUUUGUUUUAUCAAGCCCAGGACACAUGAUUUACCUCUACACCAGGCCUUCAAACUCAGACUGAAACCAUACCAUUGGAUCUCUGGGUCUCCAGCAAAUCUUGGGAAUCCUCGGCCCUCAAAAUCAUGUAAUGAAGAUUCUAUAGGCCCAUACGGCUCGUGCUCUGAGUAGCAAGGAUUUAGAUGACUCCCAUUUUGAAGAGUAAGAAGGUAAUUAUAUUACGGAAGUAUAAUAUUAUUGUGACAUGGUAUUAAGGGCUCAGUUGAGGUUGUAGUCAUGAAUUUAACACAGUGUGAU
Felis catus (domestic cat) is the source of this 353-nucleotide long non-coding RNA. RefSeq lists it as uncharacterized. NCBI's taxonomy places the organism in Eukaryota, Metazoa, Chordata, Mammalia, Carnivora, Felidae. The record is from RefSeq and is a predicted model, not a curated record. The transcript is spliced from 3 exons.